Aegilops tauschii subsp. strangulata is the source of this 2371-nucleotide non-coding RNA. Lineage: Eukaryota; Viridiplantae; Streptophyta; Magnoliopsida; Poales; Poaceae. The record is from RefSeq and is a predicted model, not a curated record.
CGAUCUCAAUCUUCUCCAUUACGGUUGUCUUCCUUGCCAGUAUAAGAUGGGUUCUUUCUAAUUCAGAUCUUGCUUGCCUUAUAUCAUGACAUGUUCUUUGCCGGUGUGAGCAUAGCAUGAUUCUUUCACCGGCAUGUCUUUUGUAUGGCAUUAAUUUUGUUCAGGAAUCAGUUUAAGUGAAGAUCGAUGGUUUUUAGAUUAAGUGGAGAAUACUGAUUACUCUUCUGAAGUGUAUUGUUGUUCAAUUGAGACAUAUGCAGUGGGCAUGAAGGCAGCAGGUUGAUUAAAUCCACGGUAAACGCUAUGCAUUCAGAAUUCCUAUAGUUAUAAAUAGGGUGAAAAAGAGAUAGACAACCAAUAUUGAUUUAUGAGCUGUUUAGUCAGCUCCUGCUGCUAGACGCUAGCGCCAGGGCGUGCAUCGCGGCUGUCCACUUUUGCCGACUGCUCCGGUGCAACGGUGCUCCUGCUGGUUGCUGUUAGCUGCUAGCGCCAGGGCGUGCAUCGCCGCCGUCGGCUCCGGUGCUCCUGCUGGUUGCCGCUAGCCGGCUAGCUGCUAGCCCGCUGUGGUUUGCACGUCACAUGCGCCUGGGCUCGUGGUGUUUGUUGUGUUCGUCAGUUCCUGUUCGUACCUUCGUGAUGACUGGUUCAGUGUGUCGUGCGUGUGGGUCAUAUGUCCAGCCAUUGAUAGGGCACGACCCAAAUUAGGAGCCUUCUCACAAGUCACGGCCCAACAUCAAAGAGAACUCAUUUUUUUCAGCUAUUUAUUGCACCUGUCACCCAUCGAUCGAGCUUAUACGGAUAUGUAUAUUACAGUAUAUUUUUCCGGAAAUAAAGGUGGGCUGGGCAUCCUGCCUCGCCCUACCUAGAGCUCCACCGGUGCUAUUGCUAAUAUCCUUGUCCUGUAGUAGCUUUAGUAUUUCUCACAUUUUUUCAGCUACAUGUGUAAAUGUAGUUACAUUUGAGAGAGCGGGAGAUAUUUCUUUGGGAUUAUUUUACAUAUCUUUGUUAUCUAGGUAUCUAAAUUAUUGCUGAAUGCAUCUUCAUGUGAGAAAAUGUGGACGGCUACAAGAGAAACAUAAACUUUGUCAUAUGAAGUUGGAAGUGUUGAACUGCUCAAACUUUCUACUUUGCAAACAAAUAAAGUGAUGCAAGGUACUCAGAUGUCUGUUGUUGAUGAGAAUUGACAUUGGGUUCAAAAUUAAAUUAGUGCUUAAUUGUUGCCUUGGUGAUUGCUACUAUUUCAUUGUUUCAGAAACAUGUCUACUCUUGGACUGUUUCAUAGUUUAUGUUUUCAAAUCCGCUAUAUACAUAUAUCUACCUCAUGUUGAUGCACUAUCAAAAUUGACUCAUUAAUUCCUUGUCACAUUAUUUUGCUCAGACUGGCUUGCCCCUAAUUUAUAAAUGCUGCCAAAUUUCGAAAUCUUACUUCAUAUGCAGCUGGAAGAAUUCCAAGAUAGAGCUAUUGCUUCAAGGUUGGGAUUGGCCACAACAUAAUUGACAUCAAAACCAGAUCUGGGUCCUACAUAUCCGGUGUUGCUCGUAUCCUACAAUGGUUUACAGAUGGUGUGGCUCCUUACAGUAAGAUGAUCAAGCAGCGAUCUAGAGUUCUCAAUACAGAUCGAUGACGCCUCCUCGGGAUCCACAUCUCCGCAGCCCCCAACCCUGGUAUAGUAUGAAAAACCUACAAAUAAAUCAGAAGAAUAGGUAAUUAUGGGAUGCUUAUGUUUUGUUGGUGUAGUAGUCGUUUUAAGUCCAGUCCUAGAGGAUGUUGCUUGACGCUUCCCUUUAGUCGAGUGACUUUGCAUGCUAAUAGUACAAUAGAUAAAUCUAAUUAAUACUCCCUCUGUCCCAAAAUAAGUGAUUUAAGUUUGUACUAACUUUGUACUAAAGUUAGUACAAAGUUGAGUCAAUUAUUUUGGGACGGAGGGAGUACUUAUGAGUGCGUAAUGUUUUGUGAAAACUUUAAAUUCAUGGUGCAGUUGCGUCUUACCUUCAGUGUUGGCCUGUAGGUGUGUGUUUCAUCACUUCUCUGUUUCUUAUAACUGUCCUUGUUUUGUUUCUUAUAACUGUCCUUGUUUUGUUUCUUAUGUUUGUUUUUAGAUUUCUUUCAUCAACCUGCAGGCUCACUCAAGUUUUCCUUCAAUCUUCUACUUCGACCCCUAAUAUUUUCAUGCGAAAUGUUCAAGAAAUAUCCAAGAGAGAUACAAUUGCACUCGGCUUCAGAAGAUACACUGGAGAAAUUUGUGUUGUUGUGUUUUGAGUGAUGACUCUACCUGUAGUAGAAAUCGAUCAGGAAUACAUGGACGUGGAUAUGCAUUAUGGUCGUACUAUGGAUGUGGAUAUGCUCGCCAUAUUAGCUAUAUCUUUUUCA